Non-coding RNA from Maylandia zebra (zebra mbuna), 1225 nucleotides. The record is from RefSeq and is a predicted model, not a curated record. NCBI's taxonomy places the organism in Eukaryota, Metazoa, Chordata, Actinopteri, Cichliformes, Cichlidae.
UCUUUAUAUUAACUGUCCACAUCAACAAGCGUCAUAUUUCCUAUGACCAUUGAAUGCACCUCUCAGUUCACCCCACGUGAGGGCACCUAGCUCAGCAACCAAUCAGAGCCUACCCAGGCCGCAUUGACCCUGUCAGCCAGGAAGUGAAGUGGAGGUGCAUGGUGCUCCCGGGUUUUUUCUCAUCUCAGCAAGAGGAGUGGAGGCAUCUACUACUCAAACCGAGAAAUCCACGGACAAAAGAGAGGAAAACUCAGGAUUGAGAGGAAGGAAAGCCAGCGUACUUACCUGCUGGAAGUCCGGAGUCGAGUGGCUGGAUGAAGGAGAGAGGCAACGUCGGCUAACCACUCACCUUUCAUCCGGAGAGCUGCUGCAAUUCCAACGCCAGUGUGUGUUGGGCUUUUGUGAAACAGAGCAACGGUGAGCAACAUGUUCUUAGCUGCUCUAAAGCUAAAUUUUGUCAGUUCACUGUGAGUUUAAAGUAAUCUAGAGGGUAAUUUUUAGUGCAUUUCUCUCUCACGAAUAGGCCUAUAGCGUGGAGAAAUUAAGCACACUGCUUUAAUGCCUCUGAACUGAACUCAUAUGUAUAUUUUGUUGCUUAUUUGCACAUAGUUCUGAAUUUGUUAUGGUGUAUUGUAUUUUGAGUGUCAAUGGUUACUUACCAUAAGUAUUGUUUAAUUAAUGUUUACAUGAAUAGAGAAAUAUUUGAGCAACUUAGAUGUUUAGUUCUCAUAUUUGAUAUGCUUGAAAAUUGAAUGUUGUACAACAGAACUGUGAGAUUUGAUAAGAUUUAAGAUGUUGAUGCAAUGAAUAUGAGGUGAUGCAAUAUUUUGAUUUUGUAUUUUAACCUUAAACAAUGCAUCUGAAACAGACUGAUUAGAAUGUACAUUUUAUGACCUGGAUUAUAGGUCAGGUUUUUUGGAGAGGACGGAAAAGUCCAAGGACCAGGACGAUAUUCUGGUUGUGAUAGAUGGCGAGCCAACCACUUUGAGGACGAUCUACCCCAAAGAAGAUACACACCACACACUCAUACAUUCCAGUUACAUUCACAAGGACCUUUGAAGUUGGCUAUCGCCAGCUUAACUCUAAAUUCUUAAAGGGCCCCAACGAGUACUUUUAUUUUGUUGAGUGUGCACACUAUUUAUUUUAUUUUAUACUUUAUCUGUACAAAUUGGACAAAUACCUGUUAUACUUUGUAACAAUACAAGAGUGGCUACUCAAAAGUUAA